Molecule: unclassified non-coding RNA, 345 nt
Filed under: soil metagenome
Description: partial contains 5.8S ribosomal RNA, internal transcribed spacer 2, and large subunit ribosomal RNA
Rfam family: 5.8S ribosomal RNA (bases 1-120)
Source: RNAcentral
GAUGAAGAACGCAGCGAAAUGGGAUACGUAAUGUGAAUUGCAGAAUUCAGUGAAUCAUCGAGUCUUUGAACGCACAUUGCGCCCCCUGGUAUUCCGGGGGGCAUGCCUGUCCGAGCGUCAUUGCUGCCCUCAAGCACGGCUUGUGUGUUGGGCCUCCGUCCUCCUCCCGGGGGACGGGCCCGAAAGGCAGCGGCGGCACCGCGUCCGGUCCUCGAGCGUAUGGGGCUUCGUCACCCGCUCUUGUAGGCCCGGCCGGCGCUUGCCGACACAUCAAUCUUUUUUCCAGGUUGACCUCGGAUCAGGCAGGGAUACCCGCUGAACUUAAGCAUAUCAAUAAGCGGAGGA